This 253-nucleotide ribosomal RNA is filed under the name uncultured bacterium. RNAcentral describes it as "partial 16S ribosomal RNA". It matches the Rfam family "Bacterial small subunit ribosomal RNA", at positions 524 to 776 of the family's 1533-position model. The record is from RNAcentral.
UACGAAGGGGGCUAGCGUUGCUCGGAAUUACUGGGCGUAAAGCGCACGUAGGCGGAUCCUUAAGUCGGUGGUGAAAUCCUGAAGCUCAACUUCAGAACUGCCUUCGAUACUGGGGACCUUGAGUUCGGGAGAGGUGAGUGGAACUGCGAGUGUAGAGGUGAAAUUCGUAGAUAUUCGCAAGAACACCAGUGGCGAAGGCGGCUCACUGGCCCGAUACUGACGCUGAGGCGCGAAAGCGUGGGGAGCAAACAGG